CAGAGAAAUAAAAAAUAAAAAAAAAGAAGAAGAAGAAAGAAACAUGAGAUCAAACUUUCCCAGCUACCUUUAUUAGUUCUUUGGCAGUGACAUGUGUUGUUUAGUCAUGCAUAGUUUCCUCACUUCGCCAUGACACGACAAUGCGAGUGAGUCAGACUAGAUGUAUGUCGACUCCGUCACUGAUCCCAUGCAUCCAAAACUGAAACCAACACAAAGCUCAAGUCUGCAGAAAUCACACGGGCCGUUGUUGAGCAACUCCAGCAGCGCAUUUAACCACCGUCUAGAGCUCCAGAAACACGACUAAAAUUAAAACGUCCUGCAAUUCUGCGGUCUGGCAGCCGGUGGAGGCUGGGAUGGAGAACACACUGAGAGCAGUUUUAUCUCCGUUUGAUACCACGCUGCCGUUAAAGAAACACGACAAGGAAGAAAAAACCAAGGUGGACGCCGGCCAAGAUAAACACAAGGAAAGAAUGCGAGAGAGAGAGAGACGCUGCAGAAGUUACAUUUUGCUUCCAAUAAGGCAGAUUUAUAAAUAAAUCUUCUCCCUGCUUUCUGGAACUGUUGAGAACUGAUCCUGCAUUUUUCAGCCUCUUCUUGCACAUUUCACAGGAGUCUUUACUUUGUCUAAAAAAGCAAUUUUUACAGAUGAAGCGCUGAUUAAAACAUACAAUAGAACUGUAAAAUGGAAAGAAGUGACUUAUUCUUAUACACAGGUUUUAAAAAACAAACAUGUAAUCUGAUCAUUUUACUGUCAAAGUUUAAAACCAAGUUUAUCCUCAAAUCUUCACUUCUAUUCUGAACAGUACCAAGAGUUCUUGUGUAUCUAAAGAUCUAUGUUGUCAUGACGAGGAAGAACAAAGAAAUAAAAAAACAACAUUAUUUUACUACAGAUUUGUCAGUAACUGAAAAGUAUUACUAUGUACUGUACAGUAUAUGAACUCAAUACUUGACUGGUCCUAGUUUUACACAAAUGACUCUUUAAGUAGUGGCCACAACUGCAGUUGUCAUUUUCACCACACGGUCUUCCUUCCACUCAACUUUCCAACAACAUGCUCAGAUGCAGCAUAUUAUCUAAGCUCGUGCUUAGAUAAUAUGUAGUUGAUAAGUCUGCUUCUUAUCAACUACCCAUCAGUGGUUUAGUUUUGGUUUCAUGCGGUAUUCAAAUUGACUGGCAAUCAGAAUUAGAAAUAAUCCAAAUCAUCAAAAUGAAUUGAAACAGACUUACAGUAUAUCACUGUCCGGAAU
Long non-coding RNA from Xiphophorus hellerii (green swordtail), 1245 nucleotides. RefSeq lists it as uncharacterized. The transcript is spliced from 2 exons. The record is from RefSeq and is a predicted model, not a curated record. NCBI's taxonomy places the organism in Eukaryota, Metazoa, Chordata, Actinopteri, Cyprinodontiformes, Poeciliidae.